GUUGUAUGGUUAAGUGACUAAGCGUACACGGUGGAUGCCUUGGCAGUCAGAGGCGAUGAAAGGCGUAAUAACUUGCGAUAAGCCCAGAUUAGGUAGUAAUAACCUUUUGAGUCUGGGAUUCCUGAAUGGGGAAACCCACUUGCAUAAGCAAGUAUCUUGUUGUGAAUACAUAGCAACAGGAGGCAAACCGGGGGAACUGAAACAUCUAAGUACCCCGAGGAAGAGAAAUCAACCGAGAUUCCGAAAGUAGCGGCGAGCGAAAUUGGAUUAGCCCUUAAGCUUUUAAUGAGACAGAUGAAGGCUCUGGAAAGUGCCGCAGUAAAGGGUGAUAGCCCCGUAAUCGACAUCUCAUAAUCAGUGAAAACGAG
Molecule: ribosomal RNA, 368 nt
Filed under: Vibrio lentus
Lineage: Bacteria; Pseudomonadati; Pseudomonadota; Gammaproteobacteria; Vibrionales; Vibrionaceae
Description: bacterial LSU rRNA
Rfam family: Bacterial large subunit ribosomal RNA
Source: RNAcentral